GCUAAACGCGAAGAACCUUACCAGGCCUUGACAUGCAGAGAACUUUCCAGAGAUGGAUUGGUGCCUUCGGGAACGUCUGACACAGGUGCUGCAUGGCUGUCGUCAGCUCGUGUCGUGAGAUGUUGGGUUAAGUCCCGUAACGAGCGCAACCCGUUGUCCUUAGUUACCAGCACGUCAUGGUGGGCACUCUAAGGAGACUGCCGGUGACAAACCGGAGGAAGGUGGGGAUGGACGUCAAGUCAUCAUGGCCCUUAGGCCUGGGCUACACACGUGCUACAAUGGUCGGUACAGAGGGUUGCCAAGCCGCGAGGUGGAGCUAAUCUCACAAACCGAUCGUAGUCCGGAUCGCAGUCUGCAACUCGACUGCGUGAAGUCGGAAUCGCUAGUAAUCGCGAAUCAGAAUGUCGCGGUGAAUACGUUCCCGGGUCUUGUACACACCGAGUCGGU
This 447-nucleotide ribosomal RNA is filed under the name uncultured bacterium. Its description in RNAcentral is "bacterial SSU rRNA". It matches the Rfam family "Bacterial small subunit ribosomal RNA", at positions 954 to 1397 of the family's 1533-position model. The record is from RNAcentral.